RNAcentral lists this ribosomal RNA (321 nucleotides) under uncultured eukaryote. RNAcentral describes it as "partial 18S ribosomal RNA". It matches the Rfam family "Eukaryotic small subunit ribosomal RNA", at positions 1470 to 1796 of the family's 1831-position model. The record is from RNAcentral.
CCCUUAGAUGGUCUGGGCGGCACGCGCGCUACAAUGAUGCAUUCAAAAAGUCUUCUGACCUUAGAAGGUUGGGUAUUCUCCAAAGUGCAUCGUGAUGGGAAUAGUUUAUUGCAAUUUUUAAUCUUGAACGAGGAAUUCCUAGUAAGUACAGGUCAUCAACUUGUGUUGAUUACGUCCCUGCCCUUUGUACACACCGCCCGUCGCUCCUACUGAUGAAUGGUCCGAUGAGUAUUCCGGAUGGAGACUGAUUUAGGCUUUGCCUUGCAGCUUCUCCAGAAGUUAUCCAAAUCUUAUCAUUUAGAGGAAGGAGAAGUCGUAACA